UGAGACACCCCGAGUUGUGCUUCAUGAGA
Molecule: non-coding RNA, 29 nt
Filed under: Homo sapiens (human)
Lineage: Eukaryota; Metazoa; Chordata; Mammalia; Primates; Hominidae
Source: RNAcentral